Molecule: long non-coding RNA, 1567 nt
Organism: Seriola aureovittata
Lineage: Eukaryota; Metazoa; Chordata; Actinopteri; Carangiformes; Carangidae
Exons: 6
Source: RefSeq, a predicted model, not a curated record
GUGGAAACAAGAUGAGAGAUACAUUAUACAAGUUAAUUUGCAGAGAAUAAUUGUGUUUCAGAGUAGCCCUGCUGUCAUUUAGAGCUAUCUUCCCAUUAUGCUUAUAUGGAAAGUAGGUGCAACUUAACUACCUCUGAAUUUGGAGGAGCUAAUCACCUUUUAAGGACACUAUAAAUCUUAAUGAGACAGACAGUAUUAUGGUAUUUAUAAAAUAUGAGGCUAUAAACACAUUUAUUUUACAUUAUAUGGCUGUGCUGCUGUGAUAAAUAAAGCAACAUUUACAGACGGUUUAACAUUCAACAUCUAUUUUAUUUUAUAUUGCAGUAACACUGAUUUUUAAGAGGCGUGUUGCAAUACAACUCCCGGCCACCGGAGGCAGCACCAAUAUCGUUUAGCGCAGGUGUGCGAGACAGAAAUUAGGCGCCAUCUUGGAUUUUAUAAUGGUCGUCAUUACUUUAGGAAAUAACACUCCUUAGAAUUUUAUAACUUUACACCGGCCUGGAAUAGACAUUUUUUCAUCCUGAUAUAUCAAGUCCAGCUUGCCUCGAGUUAGUUACGGUUGUUAAUGAGCACAGAGUACCUGAAAUAGGCGGGUCGCUCCAAUGGUCGUGUAUCACAACAAACUAACAACAACAACAACAACAACAACAACAACUACUACUACUACUACUACUAAGUGUUGCUAAAGGUUGGAGCUGUCUCAAGGAAUAUAUGAAGUUGUCUCCUGCUCCCCCCUGUGACCAGGAAGCAGCUAGCCACAGUCCAUGACUUCACCCAGCCCAUAAAUCCCCCAGGGCAUCUGUCUGGGAUCUGCCAGGCUCAUCAGUGGAGAAGAGAAGGCUAACUGGGAGCCUGUACUGGCUGUAAAUCUGACCAGGGAGGGAGGAAAACCUGCAGUGGCCACACUUCCACUGCAGCCCAUGUAGUUGCUCAAGCCCCAGGCCAGUAAUGCACGGUUGGGACGCCAUAUGUUUGAACAGCCCCCAGAUCUUCUGUCAACACCCAGCAGCCCAGGACAUCAGCGGCAAAGACGGCAGACUUGCAAUCUUGUUUGAACUUCUGCAUUCAAGGGAGAAGAACCAAAGGCACAGAAAUAAGGAUUAAGAGAAGUCCUGUAAAAGCAGUUGUUCUGGGCCAUGCCUCUGGAACCACCAAUAGUUUCAUGCACUCAUCAUGAGGUGUGUGUUAUUGACCACGACGGACAGGUAGGACUUUUGACGUCUCACACCAACACCAGUAAUCCGCAGCAAGCAGCCACACUGUCUACACAGGGAGAGGAAAUAAUAAUACGACGUCGUCCACAAUAUUACGAUUAAAGGUAUGGCCAUUUUCUUCCUACUAUGGCAGUAGGCCUACAUGGACUUUGCUUUAUGACUUUUUAGCUGACGACAAAGGCUGUACAUUGAACAGUCAAAACUAACUUGAAAUAUGAGGGAUAAUAUGCAUUGACAGGCGGAUUUGUAGCUACCCCAUUUAAAAAAAAAAAAAAAAGAUUAUUUUCCUCUAAGUGAAGGGCACGCAGCAGGGAUGGCUGGGAGAAAAACAGGGCUGCUUUAGAUAUAUGUAU